UUUUAAAUAAAAUUAAUUAAUAAGAAAUUAAAUGAAAACAUUAAAUUUAUAUAAUUUGGCGGUAUUUUAAAUAGUUAGAGGAAUUUGUUAAUUAAAUGAUAGUCCACGAGUGGAGUGUCCUAUUAAAAUUUUAUGUAUUGUUGUAUAAAAAUUAUUUUAAGAGAAUAAUAAUUAAAAUAUUUUAUUUAAUAUGAAUUCAAAUCAAAAUGUAGGAUUAAUAGGUAAUAAUGAGUUACAAUUUAAUUUAAUAGAAUAUUUAUUUUUUUAAUUAAAAUAAUUAAUUAGGAUUUAAAAGUAAAUUUAUAAAAAUUUUUAAGUUGAAAUAA
Molecule: ribosomal RNA, 326 nt
Filed under: Pheidole sp. RA0329
Lineage: Eukaryota; Metazoa; Arthropoda; Insecta; Hymenoptera; Formicidae
Description: partial 12S ribosomal RNA
Source: RNAcentral